CGUGACGGCUGGCCCCGCCUCUUCCUCUCGGUCCCAUAUUGAACUCGAGUUGGAAGAGGCGAGUCCGGUCUCAAAAUGGAGGUAAAACCGCCGCCCGGUCGCCCCCAGCCCGACUCCGGCCGUCGCCGCCGCCGCCGGGGGGAGGAGGGCCAUGAUCCAAAGGAACCAGAACAGUUGAGAAAACUGUUUAUCGGUGGUCUGAGCUUUGAAACUACAGAUGAUAGCUUAAGAGAACAUUUUGAGAAAUGGGGCACACUUACAGAUUGUGUGGUGAUGAGAGACCCCCAAACAAAACGUUCCAGGGGCUUUGGUUUUGUGACUUACUCUUGUGUUGAAGAGGUGGAUGCGGCAAUGUGUGCUCGACCACACAAGGUUGAUGGGCGUGUAGUGGAACCAAAGAGAGCUGUUUCUAGAGAGGAUUCUGUAAAGCCGGGUGCCCAUCUAACAGUGAAGAAAAUUUUUGUUGGUGGUAUUAAAGAAGAUACAGAAGAAUAUAAUUUGAGAGACUACUUUGAAAAGUAUGGCAAGAUUGAAACCAUAGAAGUUAUGGAAGACAGGCAGAGUGGAAAAAAGAGAGGAUUUGCUUUUGUAACUUUUGAUGAUCAUGAUACAGUUGAUAAAAUUGUUGUUCAGAAAUACCACACUAUUAAUGGGCAUAAUUGUGAAGUGAAAAAGGCUCUUUCUAAACAAGAAAUGCAAUCUGCUGGAUCACAGAGAGGUCGUGGAGGUGGAUCUGGCAACUUUAUGGGUCGUGGAGGAAACUUUGGAGGUGGUGGAGGUAACUUUGGCCGUGGUGGAAACUUUGGUGGAAGAGGAGGCUAUGGUGGUGGAGGUGGUGGCAGCAGAGGUAGUUAUGGAGGAGGUGAUGGUGGAUAUAAUGGAUUUGGAGGUGACGGUGGUAACUAUGGCGGUGGUCCUGGUUAUAGUAGUAGAGGAGGCUAUGGUGGUGGUGGACCAGGAUAUGGAAACCAAGGUGGUGGAUAUGGUGGCGGUGGUGGAGGAUAUGAUGGUUACAAUGAAGGAGGAAAUUUUGGAGGUAACUAUGGUGGUGGUGGGAGCUAUAAUGAUUUUGGAAAUUAUAGUGGACAACAGCAAUCAAACUAUGGACCCAUGAAGGGGGGCAGUUUUGGUGGAAGAAGCUCGGGAAGUCCUUAUGGUGGUGGUUAUGGAUCUGGUGGUGGAAGUGGUGGAUAUGGUAGCAGAAGGUUCUAAAAACUCAGAAGAAAAGGGUUGAAUGAGAACCCUACUUGCCUAAAUGAGGAAUGUCUUUCCUACCAUCUUAAAUACGAAGGUUUCUGGCUGGGACUGAAUUUCUACACACCACCAUAGAAUGAAGUGUUGAAUAAGGUAAAUAGCCUUUUAAUGAUAAUUUUUCUUUACAACAUGGUUUUUAAUGAAGCAAACUUCUAAGAUAGGAAAUAUUUUCUUUUUUUAAGGCAUUGUUCUUUUCCAGUUCAUCUCAUUUCUUUAUGAAAUAAAGUGAUUUUACUUAAAUGUAGUUCCACUGUCAUUUCUGAAAAAUACGAUGCUCUUAAGUCAUAACACCAGUAAAGGAAGGAAGUUAUACAAGGGAGAAAUGGUCAAGGCAAACCUUAACUCAUUUUGUCAAAGCAACUCAUAGGUUACAGCUUCCCACAGUACAUUUCUUCUGGAAAAGCUCAUUUUACACUCAUGCCCUAAAGAACAAAAACUAUCUGGUAACAAAGACCAUAUUUGUUAAGGAACUGAACAGUUGAAAUACACUUGGUUUUAAGAGUUCUAAUAUGUAAGUCACCAUUUGGAACAUUUCUAAUUAAAUGCCAGUAUCUUGGAAUUCCAGUCAUUGAUGUCACAAAGUUAGUGAGUAAGCAUGCUAAUGUGCAGGGGGUAAUUAAGGAUUGUUAGCCUAUAUAAAUAUUCAAGAUUACUUUUAAAUCUCAAUGUUUUACUCUGAUUUAUAAAACUUAAGAGGUGGUCUGUAAUGGAUUCAAAUGUUUCAUUUGUAGUAUAAUGAAAUGUUUACAGAAAGAUAACUUUUUCAUUAAAAUAUUUUU
Molecule: non-coding RNA, 2033 nt
Organism: Kogia breviceps (pygmy sperm whale)
Lineage: Eukaryota; Metazoa; Chordata; Mammalia; Artiodactyla; Physeteridae
Source: RefSeq, a predicted model, not a curated record